AGGGUAAAAUACCAAAUCAAACUUGAGAGUUUGAUCCUGGCUCAGAGUGAACGCUGGCGGCACGCCUAACACAUGCAAGUCGAGCGAGAAACUAAACUUCGGUUUAGCGGAAAGCGGCGGACGG
Molecule: ribosomal RNA, 124 nt
Filed under: Candidatus Pelagibacterales bacterium
Lineage: Bacteria; Pseudomonadati; Pseudomonadota; Alphaproteobacteria; Candidatus Pelagibacterales
Description: partial 16S ribosomal RNA
Rfam family: Bacterial small subunit ribosomal RNA (bases 19-124)
Source: RNAcentral